This is a long non-coding RNA of Carassius gibelio (silver crucian carp), 400 nucleotides long. RefSeq lists it as uncharacterized. NCBI's taxonomy places the organism in Eukaryota, Metazoa, Chordata, Actinopteri, Cypriniformes, Cyprinidae. The record is from RefSeq and is a predicted model, not a curated record. The transcript has 3 exons.
GGGUGUUAAUAUUUCAGAGUAAAGUUAUUUUAACCCAGAUAGAGUAUUUUCAACAUUUUGGGGAGUAAAACUGCUCUUUUAGUGGAGUUAAAAGUGAGUGUAAAAUUCUGCAGAAACGCAGUGACAAUUUCAACUCUACAGUAGUGAUAAAUACCCACCACUCUGCUGUGCUUGUCAAACGUGCUGCAUUUCAGUGGAGGAAGAUUGCGAAGGAGCAACGCUAGGCCACUGAUAUUGCUCGGGGCAAAAUGCUGUUGCGUGUUCAAUUCGGGGAAGAGCAGAAAUACGUCAAGCUGUCUGAGCUGACAUUCGAUGCUUUCUUGAAAGAAGUUACAUAAAAUCGGCUGCAGGUACCAUGGUGACCAAUGGUUUGAGGGUUCAAAUGAGGGUUCAAAGUCUG